Molecule: long non-coding RNA, 1116 nt
Organism: Musa acuminata AAA Group (dessert banana)
Lineage: Eukaryota; Viridiplantae; Streptophyta; Magnoliopsida; Zingiberales; Musaceae
Exons: 3
Source: RefSeq, a predicted model, not a curated record
UGGUGAGCUAACAAGUCUUCCUACUCUAUUUCAGGGGAUAAGUCCUAUGUUGAUAGAAUAAAUAUUAAUGAAAUAAUGAAACCAUUAUAUACGUAUGUAUGUUUAAAUGUGGGGGUUGUGUGAAUAAAAAGCUCGAUAUCCGUUGCAAGUUGUUCCACAUUUUAAUCGUCAGGGCAUGCAUUCCUUGUAAUAAUUUUCUAUUCACCGUUGGAUUUUCUUUUUGCGCAUCUUAAGGCAAUCCAAACGGUCAUAAACCCAUGAACGAUCAUCGUGUGCGAUUUCUUCCUCUUGUUUGGCUUCCGGACGAAUGUCGAUCAGUUACUUCGAAAUCCCUAUGGAAACGUGGACAAAACCAUCGGCGGACCUAAUUAGUCUCUCCUCUGUUUCGCCUCGAUUGAGUUGGCGAUGGGGGACACGUCGGCGGAGAAUUCCCCCAGGCUUCCUUUGCAUUACUACCGGAACAUCCUCCUUACCACCGCCGCUCCCUUCCCAACGUCGACAACGUCGGGAGAUACCCUUUGAUGUGUUUUGAAAGGGGAUGUGCUUGCUUGAUAUUGGUGGACUCGAGGGUAUAAUGCAGUAUGUAUGUGUGGGAUGGAAGCGAACCGGAUCGCUGCCGAGACAGGCUAUGAAGGAGAAUUGCUCCUCCAGGGAGACUUGUGACAAGUGGAAUUGUAUGACCCACCUGCGUCAGCUGUAGUGAGAGUGAGUGGCGUUUCCUUGGUAUUCUGUUGAGCCUGACACCAUUUGGAGUGCCAAGAUCAGCCAGGUCUGUGAGAAGGUGCAGGUGACCUACAUACAGAUGCUGAGCUGGUAGCCUGCCACAAGGAUGUGGCAUUGGCUUCACUCGCUGGGGUUUGCAAGGUCUCAUCUCAUCUAGUGCAAAUGGAACAACAUUAAGGUAGAAUGCAUUAUCUUGGGCUGGCUAAUUUCACCUUAAAUUCAUGGGAAGAUUCUUGUACAUGAGAGGAGCAUAAGCAAAUUUGAUGAAAACUUCUAAAUCUAUUCAAUGGUCCUGUAGAAUCUUUCAAAUUUCUUCUUCUUCUUCUUCUACCAUGUUAUGUUUUCUUUGCCGCUGGGCAGGAAAAAAAAAACAAGAAAAAGGGCUUUGAGUUA